RNAcentral lists this ribosomal RNA (253 nucleotides) under uncultured bacterium. RNAcentral's name for it is "partial 16S ribosomal RNA". It matches the Rfam family "Bacterial small subunit ribosomal RNA", at positions 524 to 776 of the family's 1533-position model. The record is from RNAcentral.
UACGGGGGGGGCAAGCGUUGUUCGGAAUUACUGGGCGUAAAGGGCCAGUAGGCGGCCAACUAAGUCCGACGUGAAAUCCCAAGGCUUAACCUUGGAACUGCGUCGGAUACUGGAUGGCUUGAAUCCGGGAGAGGGAUGCGGAAUUCCAGGUGUAGCGGUGAAAUGCGUAGAUAUCUGGAGGAACACCGGUGGCGAAGGCGGCAUCCUGGACCGGUAUUGACACUGAGGCGCGAAAGCCAGGGGAGCAAACGGG